Molecule: ribosomal RNA, 1214 nt
Filed under: uncultured bacterium
Lineage: Bacteria
Description: bacterial SSU rRNA
Rfam family: Bacterial small subunit ribosomal RNA
Source: RNAcentral
GUGAGUAUAAGCAAGGAACGUACCCUAAAGUAUCGCAUAGCUCGUCGAAAGACGGGGUAAUUCGGUAUGUGACCGUAAGGUUAAAGGAGCAAUCCGCUUUAGGAGCGGCCUUGUGCCUAUCAGCUUGUUGGUGAGGUAAAGGCUUACCAAGGCUACGACGGGUAGGGGGUGUGAGAGCAUGACCCCCCACGAUAGCACUGAGACACGGGCUAUACACCUACGGGUGGCAGCAACUGGGAAUCGUUGACAAUGGGCGAAAGCCUGAUCACGCGACGCCGCGUGUGGGAUGAAGGCCCUCGGGUCGUAAACCACUUUUGCCAAGUCUCCGAAGCUUGGCGAAUAAGCAUCUACUAACUACGUGCCAGCAGUCGCGGUAAUACGUAGGAUGCAAGCGUUAUCCGGAUUCACUGGGCGUAAAGUGUCGUGUAGGCGGUUUUCCGCAUCGUGUUUGAAAGUCUGGGGCUCAACCCCAGGUGUGAAUACGAGAUGGGGAGACUAUGAGGGUAGGAGAGGGAAGGGGAACUUAUGGUGAAGCAGUGAAAUGCGUUGAUAUCAUAAGGAACACCGAAGGCGAAGGCACCUUCCUGGCAUACUCCUGACGCUGAGACACGAAAGCUAGGGGAGCGAAGCAGAUUAGAGACCUGCGUAGUCCUAGCCCUAAACGCAUGCCUGCUAGAUGCCCCGAGUAAUCGGGGUGUCGUAAGCUAACGCGUUAAGCAGGCCGCCUGGGGAGUACGAUCGCAAGAUUAAAACUCAAAGGAAUUGACGGGGACCCGCACAACCAGUGGAGCGUGUGGUUCAAUUCGAGACAAAGCGAAGCACCUAACCAGGGCUUGACAUGUUAUCGUUUUAACCCGCUAGAAACAGCAGGCUAUCCGCAAGGAUGAUAGCACAGCUGCUGCAUGGCUGUCGUCAGCUCGUGCCGUGAGGUGUUCUCUUAAGUGAGACAACGAGCGCAACCCCUAUCUGAUGUUACAAGUGUCAUCAGAGACGGUCUUGGUUUUUUCCAGGAAGGAAGGAGGGGACGACGUCAAGUCAGCACGGCGCUUAUGCCCUGGGUCACACACACCCUACAAUGGCGAAGAACAAUGAGCAGCAAGGCAGCAAUGCCAAGCAAAUCUCUGAAAUUUCGCCUCAGUUCAGAUUGGGGGCUGCAACCCGCCCCCAUGAAGUCGGAAUUGGUAGUAAUCGUAGAUCAGCAGGCUGCGGUGAAU